UAUUUUUUUUCUUUUCUAGUUUCUACGCUGCCCCAACAAUCAGCUCUAUGUUCUGGUCAUCGAGAACUUGUCUAGUCGCUCCAUCGCAAGUCCGUCAGCGUCGAUAGUCGUUCGUUUUUGCCAAAGUUGCUCAAUCGGUGAGUUCCAUAACGGAUCCGGUCUUCGCAAAGCUGGAGUUCGACAAUGGCCAAAUCAAAAAUUCCGUGAGUUUUCAUCUAUUC
Molecule: long non-coding RNA, 221 nt
Filed under: Sorghum bicolor (sorghum)
Lineage: Eukaryota; Viridiplantae; Streptophyta; Magnoliopsida; Poales; Poaceae
Description: long non-coding RNA (SBIC_LNC015507)
Source: RNAcentral